This is a long non-coding RNA of Lutra lutra (Eurasian river otter), 1895 nucleotides long. RefSeq lists it as uncharacterized. NCBI's taxonomy places the organism in Eukaryota, Metazoa, Chordata, Mammalia, Carnivora, Mustelidae. The transcript is spliced from 2 exons. The record is from RefSeq and is a predicted model, not a curated record.
CGGGGGGAGGGGCCCGGCCUGGAGACGGCUGUGGGUGCAACGGAGUCAGAACAGAGUCCUCAGAGCUGGGCGUUUCCAGAAGGUGUUGUUUUCGGUGACAGGAAUUUCUCUCCACGUCUUGUGGCUUCAGUAUAUUCCUCGCGGACCCCAGUUUCUUCCCCUUAGGGGAGCACGUCCUGGGUGCUGUUAGUGGUGACACCCCGCAGGGCCAGCCUGGGGCAGAGGGCAAGGUGGCGCCAUGGCUGGCACAUUGGGGCACGGUGCCCACUUUCCGGCGUGCCCUGCCCUGUUGUUUGUGGCCCCGUCCGUGGGCAGCACGCUCGGGCCGCAGCCGCCUUCCCACCAGCACUGACACUGACCCCGUCCUCUCCUGGGCUGAGGGUGGCCUGCUGAUUCUCCUUCUCCGAAGCCUCUUUUUGUCUCACUUGGAUCUGAUCACCUCAUUUGCUCUUGGCUCAGUUUCCUUCCUUUUUGCCUCUAAGUCUUCCCACCCCAGUGGCUCGGCUCAAUCCCACCAAAGCCAGAGCCACUGUCCCCACGUGCUCGAGCUGCCUCUGGGCCCCGCUGCGUGCUGGGACAGGCCUCACUGCCUCCAGACUCCAGUCCCCACUUCCUGGCAUCAACACUUCGUUGCUUUGCUCCCUCGUGUUGGUGGAGUCAGCAUGUGUUCCGGAAGCUUCCUGGGCCAUGCGUGAGGGAGGCAGACACGCUGCGCAGCCAGACAGGCCGCCUUGGCUUCGCUCCCACCAGCCUGACAGUGGAGCGGGGGCACCGUGUCCCUCGGCUGCAGGCGGCGCUGCUCCAGCUCUGUCCGGCACAGUGUCCGAGGUGGCACCUGCCGUCUGCCGCGGGGAGGACUGCGCCCCUGCCCCGUGCGCUGCGCGGUUUGCACGCCCCCCCGUCAGAGCCCCGGCUGCUCACGCCCCGCGGGGGUUCAGCAGGACCGCCCCAGCCACGGUCGACCCCCACGGCGAGAAGCCGGCAGACGCGCGUCCCAAGAGCCUCCUCCCAGCCACACGACGGUGGGCUUGCCUUCAAAGCUCCCGUGCCUCAGUUUCCUCUUCUGAAAUGGGGGCGUCGGUGGUGCCGUCUCGGGUCGCCGUAGGUCAGCCAGUGCACGGGACCAACACAGGACACAGAUGCGGGUGCUCGCCCCGUGCCUGGGCUCUUCUCUUUCCCCACUGAGUCCUCACAAACCCAUCGGGUCUGACCCCAAGACGUUUUGUGGGUAAAUAAACAGCCCAAAAGAGUUGUCUACGUGAGCAAUCCAGUUCCAAAGCAGGACUGGGCCAGACGUCCCAACAGCAGACAGGGAGAAGGCGCAGAGAUUCGUGGCCCCACGUGUGGGAAUGUCCCUCCAAGAGGGGCCGUGGACGUGCCGGGCUGCGGGGCAGGAGGACGUCAGCCGUCUCUCACGGCGCACUUGCUGUCCUGCCUGUCACGCAGCGGAGCUUUCCAGAGCAGGCGUGAAGCCCUGUCGAGUUGUUCUAGGAACUAGUUGUUUAAAAUGCUGCCUGAGGUGCUGAUAACCCUUGCUGGGUCGUGGUGCUGGCUGUGUCUUCGUCCCGCUGCAGGGACACCUCUGGGGUCUGCAGAGCCGGGGGUGCAGGUGCUGGCUGGUGCCCAUGACACGGGACGCUGCCACCACCUUUCCCUGUCGAGUGGAAAAGAAAUUGAGGUAUUUUUCACUGAGAUUCAGAAAGGCCUGGGUGGAGCCCACCAGGAGUGUCCUCUUCUCUUGGGCCCGUGGGUGCGCCACCAAGCCCCAGAGCGCACGUGCUCUUUCGUUUCUGUGUUUCCAUGGGGCCGUGCCCACUGACGACAGGCUCCAGGCUGGUCAGAAAGAGCCUUUGGCGUGGACCGGGUGCUGGCCUUCUGCCUUGCAGGCGGGUGGA